AACGUGGGUCUAAUACCGGAUAGGAGCCUAUUUUUAGUGUGAUGGUUGGAAAGUUUUUUCGGUGUAGGAUGAGCUCGCGGCCUAUCAGCUUGUUGGUGGGGUAAUGGCCUACCAAGGUGGCGACGGGUAGCCGGCCUGAGAGGGUGGACGGCCACAUUGGGACUGAGAUACGGCCCAG
Molecule: ribosomal RNA, 178 nt
Filed under: uncultured Actinomycetales bacterium
Lineage: Bacteria; Bacillati; Actinomycetota; Actinomycetes; Actinomycetales
Description: partial 16S ribosomal RNA
Rfam family: Bacterial small subunit ribosomal RNA
Source: RNAcentral